RNAcentral lists this long non-coding RNA (263 nucleotides) under Monodelphis domestica (gray short-tailed opossum). Its description in RNAcentral is "lncRNA (ENSMODG00000035151.2)". Lineage: Eukaryota; Metazoa; Chordata; Mammalia; Didelphimorphia; Didelphidae. The record is from RNAcentral.
UUUGCUACUAACAGCAAUAAAAUGAUCCAGAACAAUUCUUAAAGACUUAUGAGGAAUGCUAUCUACCACCAGAGAAAGAACUAGAGAAUUGGAAUGCAGAUGAAAGUGUCAGAGAAGAGAAGAAUGUGCAUUAAAAAUGACAAGUGUCUAACUGGGUUUUGGAAAGUUGUGUUCAUUUGGAGCCAAGAGGAAGCUUGACUCAAGGAGAAAUAAGUAAUGAGAAGGGAAAGAUUAAAUGUAUGCUUUCAAUUAUUAGAUACAAU